This 457-nucleotide ribosomal RNA is filed under the name uncultured bacterium. Its description in RNAcentral is "bacterial SSU rRNA". It matches the Rfam family "Bacterial small subunit ribosomal RNA", at positions 340 to 786 of the family's 1533-position model. The record is from RNAcentral.
UACGGAAGGCAGCAGGGGGAAUAUUGCACAAUGGGCGAAAGCCUGAUGCAGCUAUGCCGCGUGUAUGAAGAAGGCCUUAGGGUUGUAAAGUACUUUCAUCGGGGAGGAAAAAACAAAACUAAUAAUUUUAUUUCUUGACGUUACCCGAAAAAGAAGCACCGGCUAACUCCGUGCCAGCAGCCGCGGUAAUACGGAGGGUGCUAGCGUUAAUCAGAAUUACUGGGCGUAAAGAGCACGUAGGUGGUUUUUUUAAGUUCAGAUGUGAAAUCCCUGGGCUUAACCUAGGAACUGCAUUUUGAAACUGAAAUACUAGAGUAUCGUAGAGGGAGGUAGAAUUCUAGGUGUAGCGGUGAAAUGCGUAGAUAUCUGGAGGAAUACCUGUGGCGAAAGCGGCCUCCUAAACGAAUACUGACACUGAGGGUGCGAAAGCGUGGGGAGCAAACAGGGAUUAGAUACC